RNAcentral lists this ribosomal RNA (180 nucleotides) under uncultured Glomeromycotina. RNAcentral's name for it is "partial small subunit ribosomal RNA". Lineage: Eukaryota; Fungi; Glomeromycota. The record is from RNAcentral.
GGCCUGGCUGGCCGGUCCGCCUCACCGCGUGCACUGGUCCGGCCGGGCCUUUCCUUCUGGCUAGCCGCAUGCUCUUCACUGAGUGUGUCGGGGAACCAGGACUUUUACUUUGAAAAAAUUAGAGUGUUCAAAGCAGGCAAUCGAGCCUUGAAUACUUCAGCAUGGGAUAAUGGAACAGGA